CAGCAGCCGCGGGAAUACGUAGGUGGCAAGCGUUGUCCGGAAUUAUUGGGCGUAAAGGGCUCGCAGGCGGUUUCUUAAGUCUGAUGUGAAAGCCCCCGGCUCAACCGGGGAGGGUCAUUGGAAACUGGGAAACUUGAGUGCAGAAGAGGAGAGUGGAAUUCCACGUGUAGCGGUGAAAUGCGUAGAGAUGUGGAGGAACACCAGUGGCGAAGGCGACUCUCUGGUCUGUAACUGACGCUGAGGAGCGAAAGCGUGGGGAGCGAACAGGAUUAGAUACCCCUGUAGUCCCUGUCUCUUAUAU
RNAcentral lists this ribosomal RNA (301 nucleotides) under uncultured bacterium. Its description in RNAcentral is "partial 16S ribosomal RNA". It matches the Rfam family "Bacterial small subunit ribosomal RNA", at positions 509 to 809 of the family's 1533-position model. The record is from RNAcentral.